Long non-coding RNA from Pollicipes pollicipes, 425 nucleotides. RefSeq lists it as uncharacterized. The record is from RefSeq and is a predicted model, not a curated record. The transcript is spliced from 3 exons. Lineage: Eukaryota; Metazoa; Arthropoda; Thecostraca; Pollicipedomorpha; Pollicipedidae.
GUUCCCGCGCCCGCUGUUUGGGCAGUUCGGCGAGCCGGACCGGCGAGACAUCCUGCGCAAGUUCGAGACCGGCGCCCGCCACGACCCAGACUGUCAGGAUCUGGCGCAGCAUCUCAAGACCCUGAAGCAGCGUCCGCCGUUCCCCGUGCCGUUCACGGAGCCGCGUCCGGGCCCGUACCCGGGUCUGUACCCGGGUCCGUACCCGGGCCCGUACCCGGGGCCGUUCCCGGUGCCGUUCUCGUCGGCGGCCGCCGCGGAUGCCGACGAGCCAGAGGGCCGCAGUUCAGCCCUGUUUGGGCCCCCGGCGUUCCUCGCGGCGGGCCCGCCGCCUCCGCGCGGCCAGGGGCGGCAGCGCGCCCUCUACGUCUGCCCGCGCGACCUGCGCUGCAUACCGGACCGUGGUGCUCUGUUGGCAUGUGUUCUGC